Molecule: ribosomal RNA, 475 nt
Filed under: uncultured bacterium
Lineage: Bacteria
Description: bacterial SSU rRNA
Rfam family: Bacterial small subunit ribosomal RNA
Source: RNAcentral
CGAAAGCCUGAUGGAGCAACGCCGCGUGGGUGAAGAAGGUCUUCGGAUCGUAAAACCCUGUUGUUAGAGAAGAAAGUGCGUGAGAGUAACUGUUCACGUUUCGACGGUAUCUAACCAGAAAGCCACGGCUAACUACGUGCCAGCAGCCGCGGUAAUACGUAGGUGGCAAGCGUUAUCCGGAUUUAUUGGGCGUAAAGGGAACGCAGGCGGUCUUUUAAGUCUGAUGUGAAAGCCUUCGGCUUAACCGGAGUAGUGCAUUGGAAACUGGGAGACUUGAGUGCAGAAGAGGAGAGUGGAACUCCAUGUGUAGCGGUGAAAUGCGUAGAUAUAUGGAAGAACACCAGUGGCGAAAGCGGCUCUCUGGUCUGUAACUGACGCUGAGGUUCGAAAGCGUGGGUAGCAAACAGGAUUAGAUACCCUGGUAGUCCACGCCGUAAACGAUGAAUGCUAAGUGUUGGAGGGUUUCCGCCCUUCA